This 72-nucleotide transfer RNA is filed under the name candidate division TA06 bacterium DG_78. RNAcentral's name for it is "tRNA-Thr". It matches the Rfam family "tRNA". From Rfam's summary of the family: Transfer RNA (tRNA) molecules are approximately 80 nucleotides in length. RNAcentral also lists the same sequence under 1 other name. The record is from RNAcentral.
GCCGGCAUAGCUCAGUGGUAGAGCAACGGUUUUGUAAACCGUAGGUCGCGGGUUCAAAUCCUGCUGCCGGCU